This 68-nucleotide transfer RNA is filed under the name Urocitellus parryii (Arctic ground squirrel). RNAcentral's name for it is "Spermophilus parryii (Arctic ground squirrel) tRNA". It matches the Rfam family "tRNA". Rfam says of the family: Transfer RNA (tRNA) molecules are approximately 80 nucleotides in length. Their secondary structure includes four short double-helical elements and three loops (D, anti-codon, and T loops). RNAcentral also lists the same sequence under 2 other names. Lineage: Eukaryota; Metazoa; Chordata; Mammalia; Rodentia; Sciuridae. The record is from Rfam by way of RNAcentral.
GGGGUUGUAGCUCAGUGGUAGAGCACUUGCCUGCAUGUGUGAGAACCUGGGUUCGAUCCUCAGCACCA